Molecule: non-coding RNA, 153 nt
Filed under: Chlorobium limicola
Lineage: Bacteria; Pseudomonadati; Chlorobiota; Chlorobiia; Chlorobiales; Chlorobiaceae
Description: FMN sequence
Rfam family: FMN riboswitch aptamer (RFN element)
About the family: The RFN element is a highly conserved domain that is found frequently in the 5'-untranslated regions of prokaryotic mRNAs that encode for flavin mononucleotide (FMN) biosynthesis and transport proteins. This element is a metabolite-dependent riboswitch that directly binds FMN in the absence of proteins.
Source: RNAcentral
CUUGUUUCUCAGGGCGGGGUGCAAGUCCCCACCGGCGGUAUUCCGGGUACGUAUCCGGAGAGCCCGCGAGCGCUUUCGCUGCAAGGCGGAAGGUCAGCAGAUUUGGUGCAAAGCCAAAGCCGACGGUCAUAGUCCGGACGAAAGAGAAUGAGA